This is a long non-coding RNA of Mustela lutreola (European mink), 551 nucleotides long. RefSeq lists it as uncharacterized. The transcript is spliced from 3 exons. The record is from RefSeq and is a predicted model, not a curated record. Lineage: Eukaryota; Metazoa; Chordata; Mammalia; Carnivora; Mustelidae.
AUACAAAACAACUGUGUGAAGCCACUAGAGCAUGACCAUAAUUAUGCAGAAGCCGGAGGGGAGUUGACACAUGGAAGAAGAAAAGGACCAUGGGCUAGUGCCCAAACAUCACUUGAAGCACUCAGGAAGCUGACAGGUGGAAGGUGAUGGCCCGAGGAGUGCAGUAUCAGUUCGGGAUUCAGCCCAAGCCUGUGGCUUGCUGAGCUAGUCUGUGAUUCCAGUGUUGACCCCUGGCAAGGACCUGAGAUCCAGCCGGCAGGAGCAGCUAGUGGCUGCCUCCAUGCUGAGGAACUUUUUAAAAAGCUGAAUGUAAGCUUCGAUUUUAAUAGGUGAAAGUGAAAAUGACAUGUGACUUCCAGAAAAUUCUCAAAGAUUCAAAAGAAUUGUUCUUUGUCAUGAGUUGAAUAGCAUUCUUCAAACAAAUGAAUGCUUUUUCUCAUAUUCAGAGUUGCCUGAAUUAGGGGAAAUGGAUAUAAAUUGUUGCAAGAGAGAAAUUUGGUUAGCUAUAAAUUAAAAUAAUUUGUUUUUUUACUCAUUACUCUCUUCUUGAC